GCUGGGCGUGGUGGCGCCCGCCUGUAACCCCAGCUACUCGGGAGCUGAGGCAAGAGAAUCGCUUGAAUCCAGGAGGCAGAGGCUGCAGUGAGCCGAGAUCACACCACUGCACUCCAGCCUGGGCGACAGAGCAAGACUUUGUCUCAA
Molecule: non-coding RNA, 147 nt
Filed under: Gorilla gorilla gorilla (western lowland gorilla)
Lineage: Eukaryota; Metazoa; Chordata; Mammalia; Primates; Hominidae
Source: Rfam by way of RNAcentral